This is a long non-coding RNA of Podarcis muralis (Common wall lizard), 2262 nucleotides long. The record is from Ensembl. NCBI's taxonomy places the organism in Eukaryota, Metazoa, Chordata, Lepidosauria, Squamata, Lacertidae.
CCUAGUGCUAAUGCACUGGCUGACUUUGGGGAUUCAUGGCUCACAGACAUAGGGUGUUUCCUUCAGACAUAGGGUGUUUCCUUCCCUCAGGAGUCCAGCUGAGAACAGAGAAGUGGCAAAAGGUACCCCAGGUACCAACCUGGACUUGUUUUUUCCCUCUUCCGCAUUGGCAAGCAAAGUUUUCAUUUCCCACCUCACCCACACGUGACUCGCACCUGAGCUAAAUUGCCAGCUAACAUCACCCUCCAGGAAGUCCAAGGUCCUCACACCACUCUGCCUCCCCUUCAGAAUCCAGACCGCAGCCCUUGCUAGCGCUUGAAUCCGAACCAGACUUCUGAAUUAUCACAGAGACUUUUGAAGCUCACCAAUGGGGAAAGUUCUGCCCCUUCUCCUCUUCUCCUUCAUCUUCCACCGCUCCACUUUCAGCUCUGAAGCAGGUGGAUUCGGAGAUGAAGUCAGAGACAAUAUUCAGACUGAGGAUCUUGAAAAAUGGGAAAUGCGGUUGAUGGGGAAAAGAGGAAGAUAGAAAAGGCCAGAAAGCAGCACUUGAUUCCAGACAUACAAGAGAUCUCAAGAUGGACGAGUCUCCUGCCAUCAGUGACACACAAAGAAGGAAUCCCAGCACAGACACAAUGAACACAAGCACAGAAGAAAGGACUGAAUCUGUUUUUUCAACUUCCAUACUGGAAAAAACGAUUUCCCCCUCACCCGACAUCAGCAGUGCAACUGAGUACACCAUCUCAGAGUCCACUGAUGCCAGCAAUGUCCCAGGGUUUACAAGCACACCACCAGAAGAAACAACUUUUCUCCUCAGCUGUCACCAGCAGCACAACCGAAGACAUCACCUCAGAGUCUACUGAUGUCAACACCGUAUCAACUUUUACAAGCGUGGCACCAGAGGACACAACUUUUUCCUCACCAGUCACCAGUAGUGCAACUGAGAACAUCACCCCAGAGUCCACAGAUGUCAGCACCAUCUCAACUUUCACAAGCAUGGCACCAGAGGACACAACUUUCUCCUCAGCAGUCACCAGCAGCACAACUGAGAACGUCACCCCAGCGUCCACUGAUGCCAGCACCAUCUCAGCUUUCACGAGCGUGGCACCAGAGGACACAACUUUUUCUUCACCUGACACACAAAGCACAACUGAAUUCAUCACCUCAGAGUCCACUGAUGUGAACACCGUAUCAACUUUUACAAGCGUGGCACCAGAGGACACAACUUUUUCCUCACUAGUCACCAGUAGUGCAACUGAGAACAUCACCCCAGAGUCCACUGAUACCAGCACCAUCUCAACUUUCACAAGCGUGGCACCAGAGGACACAACUUUUUCUUCACCUGACACACAAAGCACAACUGAAUUCAUCACCUCAGAGUCCACUGAUGUGAACACCGUAUCAACUUUUACAAGCGUGGCACCAGAGGACACAACUUUUUCCUCACCAGUCACCAGCAGCACAACUGAGAACGUCACCCCAGAGUCCACUGAUGCCAGCACCAUCUCAGCUUUCACAAGCGUGGCACCAGAGGACACAACUUUUUCCUCACCAGUCACCAGCAGUGCAACCGAAGACAUCACUUCAGAGUCCACUGAUGCCAGCACCAUCUCAACUUUCACAAGCGUGGCACCAGAGGACACAACUUUUUCCUCACCAGUCACCAGCAGUGCAAUCGAAGACAUCACUUCAGAGUCCACUGAUGCCAGCACCAUCUCAACUUUCACAAGCUUGGCACCAGAGGACACAACUUUUUCCUCACCAGUCACCAGUAGUGCAACCGAAGACAUCACUUCAGAGUCCACUGAUGCCAGCACCAUCUCAACUUUCACAAGCUUGGCACCAGAGGACACAACUUUUUCCUCACCAGUCACCAGCAGCACAACUGAGAACGUCACCCCAGAGUCCACUGAUGCCAGCACCAUCUCAGCUUUCACAAGCGUGGCACCAGAGGACACAACUGUCUCCUCACCAGUCACCAGCAGCACAACCAAAGACAUCACCUCAGAGUCCACUGAUGCCAACACCGUAUCAACCUUUACAAGCGUAGCACUAGAGGACACAACUUUCUCCUCACCAGUCACCAGCAGCACAACUGAGAACGUCACCCCAGAGUCCACUGAUGCCAGCACCUUCUUAACUUUCACAAGCAUGGCACCAGAGGAUACAAACUUUUUCCUCUACAGUCACCAGCAGCGCAGCAGAGAACGUCACCUCAGAGUCCUCAACAUAUAUUACCUCCACCACAACAAUUGUCAUCAGUAA